UAGCUUUGGGACAGCAUAGCUAUUAAAACUGGAACAAUACAGAUCUUGUUAGCAUGACCCCUGAGCAAGGAUGGCAAGCUAAUUUGUGAAGCAUUCAAAAUGAUA
Small nuclear RNA from Pelodiscus sinensis (Chinese soft-shelled turtle), 105 nucleotides. The record is from Rfam. NCBI's taxonomy places the organism in Eukaryota, Metazoa, Chordata, Testudines, Trionychidae.